CGGACUACAAGGGUUUCUAAUCCUGUUUGCUCCCCACGCUUUCGCACCUCAGCGUCAGUACCGAGCCAGUGAGCCGCCUUCGCCACUGGUGUUCUUCCUAAUAUCUACGAAUUUCACCUCUACACUAGGAAUUCCACUCACCUCUCUCGGACUCAAGACUGGCAGUAUUGAAGGCAGUUCCGAGGUUGAGCCCCGGGAUUUCACCCCCAACUGACCAGCCCGCCUACGUGCGCUUUACGCCCAGUGAUU
RNAcentral lists this unclassified non-coding RNA (249 nucleotides) under uncultured fungus. RNAcentral describes it as "sequence contains ITS1". Lineage: Eukaryota; Fungi. The record is from RNAcentral.